ACUCAAAUGAAUUGACGGGGACCCGCACAAGCGGUGGAGCAUGUGGUUUAAUUCGAGGCUACGCGAAGAACCUUACCCAGGCUUGACAUGUUUAGGACAACGCAUGAAAGUGCGUCUUCCCGCAAGGGACCUUUACACAGGUGCUGCAUGGCUGUCGUCAGCUCGUGCUGUGAAGUGUUGGGUUAAGUCCCGCAACGAGCGCAACCUUUAUUCUUAGUUGCCAUCACGUCAUGGUGGGCACUCUAGGAAGACUGCCGGUGAUUAACUGGAGGAAGGAGGAGAUGACGUCAAGUCAGUAUGGCCCUUAUGCCUGGGGCUACACACGUGCUACAAUGGCCAAUACAAAGCGCAGCUAACCCGCGAGGGGGCGCUAAUCGCAAAAAAUUGGCCUCAGUUCAGAUUGGAGGCUGCAACUCGCCUCCAUGAAGUCGGAAUCGCUAGUAACGGUAGAUCAGCUACGCUACCGUGAAUACGUUCCCGGGUCUUGUACACACCGCCCGU
RNAcentral lists this ribosomal RNA (501 nucleotides) under uncultured bacterium. RNAcentral describes it as "partial 16S ribosomal RNA". It matches the Rfam family "Bacterial small subunit ribosomal RNA", at positions 899 to 1397 of the family's 1533-position model. The record is from RNAcentral.